RNAcentral lists this transfer RNA (77 nucleotides) under Bacillota bacterium. RNAcentral describes it as "tRNA-Asp". It matches the Rfam family "tRNA". From Rfam's summary of the family: Transfer RNA (tRNA) molecules are approximately 80 nucleotides in length. Their secondary structure includes four short double-helical elements and three loops (D, anti-codon, and T loops). The record is from RNAcentral. RNAcentral also lists the same sequence under 5 other names. Lineage: Bacteria; Bacillati; Bacillota.
GGAGGCGUAGCGUAGUGGUUUAUCGCGCCGGCCUGUCACGCCGGAGAUCGUGGGUUCAAAUCCCAUCGCCUUCGCCA